GGGGUUAAUUGCGAAGGCUUUCUUCCUCCCGUUCGGUUGCUGCAGGGCUUUUUUGCGAGGGGGUAAGAAAUAUUUCCUACCCAAACAAAUCUCUGCCUACCAGCCAGGUUUUGAUACCUUCCCUCUCCUCAUGCAAAAUCCCGCCUGCCCAGAAAGCCGGGCCAAAAACCCCCGGGGAUUUCAGAGGUCGGGGACACGGCGGAUGGUUUAGGUUUGCUUCUGGACUAAUCCCCUGGAUCGCAGAGGGGAAGCUUCUACCUGGCGUGAGGCGAGGAGCCCUGUUUGUAGGGCUGCCAGCAGCAGGCUCCGUGCAGCGUGCUAUAACCCACGUAACCCAUUACACCACGAGCAGGACCCCGGGCUCACCUGCUUUCCUCAUGCUCCUGCCUCCCUAAAUCCAAACAAGCCCAGCUCAGAGCUCAGUGGCCUCAGAAGUGAUGCUGAAUUUUGGGGGCUCCUCACUCAGCUCAUGUACUGCGGACCUGAGGGUUUGGGUGUCCUGCCCAAAGCCUAACCCCUGCCCACAGCCUUCCUAAAUCUCUUCCUAAAUAUGAGAGCUGAAAGCCCAUUUGUUUGUUUUUUCCCCCAGUAACGAGGCUAUUUUAAUACAAGUUAUUAUUAUUACUAUUAUUACUAAUUAUUCAUUUACAUUUAUUUUAUUUUAUUUUAUUUUUUUUAUAAAUCUCUUCCCUGAAUUAUUUGCAGAAACGUUCAAGACACAACGUGAUGUGGCUGGACCAGGAGAACCACGACUUUCUUUUAACUGCCACAGCUCAGGUAAGCAAAGGAGGACAGUUUUCAAAGUGGGGUCUGUUCGUGCAGCAGCCGCCCCAGAAGCGCGCAGUCCUGAUUGCCACGCCAGCAGCAGGAGCCCCGUGCUCAGCCCCGCACAGCUCAGCCCCAGGUCUCCGACCCACUUUUCUGAGCCAUCUUUAUUUGCCAGAAAUGGAGAUUAAACGGCAAGAUUUCUCCUAUUCAUUUUCUACAAACCUUCCUCCUUGUGCUUUAUUGAUAUAAAUUACAGGAAAAUCAAUCACCGUGCUGUCAGCUGAGUAUUUAUUUCUCUCUAGCUGGUGGAGCGCAGAUUCACUCCAGGUACCGUGGCUCUGCCCUGCACUCUCACGAUCAGUGGAUAACGCAUUUUUCAGUCCUCUUACCUCCAGCCUCCAGCUGCAUGGACCGGGUAACACAAACCACACUGAGCCGGGCAGCGCAGUGCCGCAGCACGUGCUGCCGCGGCGCUGGGGAAGUGGUGGUGGAAGCACAUUAAAUAAAGGACGGAGUCGUUCCCUGCCCUCCA
This 1300-nucleotide long non-coding RNA is filed under the name Anas platyrhynchos platyrhynchos (common mallard). RNAcentral's name for it is "lncRNA (ENSAPLG00000019866.1)". The record is from RNAcentral. Lineage: Eukaryota; Metazoa; Chordata; Aves; Anseriformes; Anatidae.